GACGAACGCUGGCGGCGUGCCUAAUACAUGCAAGUCGAGCGAGUCUGCCUUGAAGAUCGGAGUGCUUGCACUCUGUGAAACAAGAUACAGGCUAGCGGCGGACGGGUGAGUAACACGUGGGUAACCUGCCCAAGAGAUCGGGAUAACACCUGGAAACAGAUGCUAAUACCGGAUAACAACAGAUGAUGCCUAUCAACUGUUUAAAAGAUGGUUCUGCUAUCACUCUGGGAUGGACCUGCGGUGCAUUAGCUAGUUGGUAGGGUAACGGCCUACCAAGGCGAUGAUGUAUAGCCGGGUUGAGAGACUGAUCGGCCACAUUGGGACUGAGACACGGCCCAAACUCCUACGGGAGGCAGCAGUAGGGAAUCUUCCACAAUGGACGCAAGUCUGAUGGAGCAACGCCGCGUGAGUGAAGAAGGGUUUCGGCUCGUAAAGCUCUGUUGUUGGUGAAGAAGGACAGGGGUAGUAACUGACCUUUGUUUGACGGUAAUCAAUUAGAAAGACACGGCUAACUACGUG
RNAcentral lists this ribosomal RNA (519 nucleotides) under uncultured bacterium. RNAcentral describes it as "partial 16S ribosomal RNA". It matches the Rfam family "Bacterial small subunit ribosomal RNA", at positions 28 to 507 of the family's 1533-position model. The record is from RNAcentral.